Molecule: ribosomal RNA, 450 nt
Filed under: uncultured Glomeromycotina
Lineage: Eukaryota; Fungi; Glomeromycota
Description: SSU rRNA
Rfam family: Eukaryotic small subunit ribosomal RNA
Source: RNAcentral
AGCAGCCGCGGUAAUUCCAGCUCCAAUAGCGUAUAUUAAAGUUGUUGCAGUUAAAAAGCUCGUAGUUGAAUUUCGAGAUCAAAUUGUUGGUCGUGCCUUGGUACGUACUGGCAUUAUUGGUUUCUCCCUUCUGAAGAACCAUGAUGUCAUUAAUUUGGUGUCAUGGGGAAUCAGGACUGUUACUUUGAAAAAAUUGAGUGUUUAAAGCAGGCUCGCGCUUGAAUACAUUAGCAUGGAAUAAUGAAAUAGGACGUUUAAUUCUAUUUUGUUGGUUUCUAGGAUUGACGUAAUGAUUAAUAGGGAUAGUUGGGGGCAUUAGUAUUCAAUUGUCAGGGGUGAAAUUCUUGGAUUUAUUGAAGACUAACUACUGCGAAAGCAUUUGCCAAGGAUGUUUUCAUUAAUCAAGAACGAAAGUUAGGGAUCGAAGACGAUCAGAUACCGUCGUAGUCU